AACGCUGGCGGCGUGCUUCAUACAUGCAAGUCGAACGAGAAGCUGACUUCGGUCAGUGGAAAGUGGCGGACGGGUGAGUAAUAUGUAGGAAAUCUGCCCUAGAGAGGGGGACAACAGAGGGAAACUUCUGCUAAUACCCCAUAUGAGCUUAGUUGAAAUACUAAUCUUGAAAACUCCGGUGCUCUAGGAUGAGCCUGCAUCUGAUUAGCUAGUUGGCGGUGUAAUGGACCACCAAGGCGACGAUCAGUAGCUGGUUUGAGAGGAUGAUCAGCCACAAUGGGACUGAGACACGGCCCAUACUCCUACGGGAGGCAGCAGUAGGGAAUUUUGCGCAAUGGGCGAAAGCCUGAACCGCAGCAACGCCGCGUGAACGAUUAAGCCCUUCGGGGUGUAAAGUUCUGUCAGUGGGGACGAAACUUGACGGUACCCACAGAGGAAGCACCGGCUAACUCCGUGCCAGCAGCAGC
This 467-nucleotide ribosomal RNA is filed under the name uncultured bacterium. RNAcentral's name for it is "bacterial SSU rRNA". It matches the Rfam family "Bacterial small subunit ribosomal RNA", at positions 32 to 518 of the family's 1533-position model. The record is from RNAcentral.